UAACUACUCCAUCCAUUCCGAAUUACUUGUCGCAGGUAUGGAUGUAUCUAGAUGUAUUUUAGUUCUAGAUACAUCCAUUUCUGUGAUGAGUAAUUUGGAACGGAGGGAGUAUAAG
Molecule: non-coding RNA, 115 nt
Organism: Triticum urartu
Lineage: Eukaryota; Viridiplantae; Streptophyta; Magnoliopsida; Poales; Poaceae
Source: Rfam